AGAUAUCCAUCGGAGGUGGAGAGUUUGGUCCCUACUGCUUUGGGUAUUCAGAGAGUGCCUUCUUUUCUGCAAGUAGCGGAGAACAGCAAAGAGCGGAGGAUCCGAGACACAGAAUACACUUGUGAUGCAAGAUGAAUUCCUGAGGCAGGAGAUUUGCAGGGACGAAUAAUGAGUAUUACUCACUAAGAUCACUAAGCAAGUAUUAUAUAUUUUUGGUGCAGUAGUGCCUCAAAGCCUCAAUCACACUUCUGUUUAUGAGCACACCUCAUACCUGCAGUGUGAGAACUUCUGAGGAGCAUCCUGUGCUCUGAAAAGACAAGGUAACCAGGUAAAAAAAAAAAAAUCUUUCAACGCUUACUGUGGAACCAGAGGACAGCCUGAUGAAGUGAAUUGCUCAAGUUCAAAUGAGAAGGCUAUGGGAGAAUUUGGAUUUUGUGAGUCCCAGACUACCAGCUUAACCACAGAUUUACCUUUUCGCUGAAUAUAGGCACUGCAAAGACAUGUUUAACCUGUGAAUCUUGAACUUUUGGGACUGAGUCCAGAUGCAAGUUCCAUGCUGGGGCUGUAGCACAUCACUGGUAGUGGAACUGUGCUGAUGCUGGUCUGAUGACCUCUCUGAAACACUAGCUGUGGGAUGAAGGGUCUUCGUAGAAACAACUUGGCUGCUAGGCUGGCGUUGCUUGGACUCCUCCAAGGCUGCAAUUCCCUCAGCCCAGUGCUGUCCUGCACUAGAGAAGUGAGACUCUUGGCAGAGCGAUUCUCAUUCACUGCCUCUGGACUAUCCUAAUCCUUACUUGCCCAGUCUAGAGGCCCUCUGUCCUGUGUGGAGUUGGUACAUAGGUCACAGGGCUGGAAGUAUGUCAGUGCCUGCACUAGGCUGGAUUAAAUAUCUGGUGUUAUCUAUUAAAGGAAAAACAACUUCUGCAUCAUUUCAUAUGUUCUCUGGGGGUGGUUCUUUAAACAUUACAGAGAAUUGCUGUAUGUCUACCUCAGUUUCCUAUUGCUUUGUAGGUCCACAUACUGGACGUUUCCCAACAGCUUACUUUCACCAUGCAAUGCACUUGACUUCUUGUUUAUUGUUCUGUUGUAUCUUCAUUUCAACUUUAUGGGAAGGCUCUGUCCCUCUCCCACCUUCAUACAGCUUUUCUACUGGUAGCUUUUUAUUGAUGUCCUGAUCAUUUAGCUACUGUACCAUGUAACAAGAAAAUAACAUUUAGGCAUGAAGUCCUACAGUCUGCAACUAACUCUUUUCAUCCAGCAAACAAAACUUCCACUACUAUUGUCCACUCGGGAGGGAGCCUCAAAGACAUCCAGUGAGGACAGCUCUGUCUGCAGUGAUGGGGAUAUGCAGGGCUGUAAAGGAGUAAGAUUCAGGAUGGGAACAGUUCCAGGCAUGGAGGAAGAUAUACAGCAAUUGACAGGACUUUAUUAUAUGGA
Chiroxiphia lanceolata (lance-tailed manakin) is the source of this 1437-nucleotide long non-coding RNA. RefSeq lists it as uncharacterized. NCBI's taxonomy places the organism in Eukaryota, Metazoa, Chordata, Aves, Passeriformes, Pipridae. The transcript has 3 exons. The record is from RefSeq and is a predicted model, not a curated record.